This 24-nucleotide non-coding RNA is filed under the name Arabidopsis thaliana (thale cress). Lineage: Eukaryota; Viridiplantae; Streptophyta; Magnoliopsida; Brassicales; Brassicaceae. The record is from RNAcentral. RNAcentral also lists the same sequence under 1 other name.
ACGGCUCAGCCGGAGGUAGGGUCC